RNAcentral lists this ribosomal RNA (573 nucleotides) under uncultured bacterium. Its description in RNAcentral is "bacterial SSU rRNA". It matches the Rfam family "Bacterial small subunit ribosomal RNA", at positions 102 to 660 of the family's 1533-position model. The record is from RNAcentral.
ACGGGUGAGUAACACGUGGGUAACCUGCCCAUAAGACUGGGAUAACUCCGGGAAACCGGGGCUAAUACCGGAUAACAUUUUGAACUGCAUGGUUCGAAAUUGAAAGGCGGCUUCGGCUGUCACUUAUGGAUGGACCCGCGUCGCAUUAGCUAGUUGGUGAGGUAACGGCUCACCAAGGCAACGAUGCGUAGCCGACCUGAGAGGGUGAUCGGCCACACUGGGACUGAGACACGGCCCAGACUCCUACGGGAGGCAGCAGUAGGGAAUCUUCCGCAAUGGACGAAAGUCUGACGGAGCAACGCCGCGUGAGUGAUGAAGGCUUUCGGGUCGUAAAACUCUGUUGUUAGGGAAGAACAAGUGCUAGUUGAAUAAGCUGGCACCUUGACGGUACCUAACCAGAAAGCCACGGCUAACUACGUGCCAGCAGCCGCGGUAAUACGUAGGUGGCAAGCGUUAUCCGGAAUUAUUGGGCGUAAAGCGCGCGCAGGUGGUUUCUUAAGUCUGAUGUGAAAGCCCACGGCUCAACCGUGGAGGGUCAUUGGAAACUGGGAGACUUGAGUGCAGAAGAGGAAA